This 404-nucleotide long non-coding RNA is filed under the name Anser brachyrhynchus (Pink-footed goose). RNAcentral describes it as "lncRNA (ENSABRG00000013393.1)". Lineage: Eukaryota; Metazoa; Chordata; Aves; Anseriformes; Anatidae. The record is from RNAcentral.
GCUAAUUUUGACCAUAUGGCAAUGUAUCAUUACCCGUUCUAAAGUUUACAUCUUCUACACUUUCCUCAAGAAGGUUUUUUUUUUUUUUUUUUCUUUUUUCCCCCUUUUGGUGCUACAUAGAAUUCUUUCUCUGAAAGUGCAUGCUGGGAUGCCAAAAUGUGUGAAACCAAGACAUGAUUUAUCCGUUUAUUGUCACAUAUAGGAACCAAUAGACCAACUAUGUCCUGAGGGUGUGAACUGUGAGAGAUCAAUCAAUUUACAGAGCUUUGGCAAACGUUGAACAGCUGGUGCUGAAAUUCUUUGCUGGAGAAAUGACCAACCCACCAGAGAUUACAGAUUUAAGCCAAGAUUGAUGGUUAAACCUUGUAAAUAAAAUUCUCUUCAAAUGUGUCCUGACCGAUUAU